CCUACGGGAGGCAGCAGUUAGGAAUUUUGCGCAAUGGACGAAAGUCUGACGCAGCAACGCCGCGUGGAGGACGAAGGCCCUCGGGUCGUAAACUCCUUUUGCACGGGAAGAUAGUGACGGUACCGUGCGAAUAAGCCCCGGCUAACUACGUG
This 152-nucleotide ribosomal RNA is filed under the name uncultured bacterium. Its description in RNAcentral is "partial 16S ribosomal RNA". It matches the Rfam family "Bacterial small subunit ribosomal RNA", at positions 338 to 507 of the family's 1533-position model. The record is from RNAcentral.